RNAcentral lists this transfer RNA (77 nucleotides) under Luteitalea sp. TBR-22. RNAcentral's name for it is "Vicinamibacteria bacterium TBR-22 tRNA-Arg". It matches the Rfam family "tRNA". Rfam says of the family: Transfer RNA (tRNA) molecules are approximately 80 nucleotides in length. Their secondary structure includes four short double-helical elements and three loops (D, anti-codon, and T loops). The record is from RNAcentral. Lineage: Bacteria; Pseudomonadati; Acidobacteriota; Vicinamibacteria; Vicinamibacterales; Vicinamibacteraceae.
GCGCCCGUAGCUCAGCUGGAUAGAGCGUUGGCCUCCGGAGCCAAAGGUCAGAGGUUCGAAUCCUCUCGGGCGUACCA